Molecule: unclassified non-coding RNA, 624 nt
Filed under: Hevea brasiliensis (rubber tree)
Lineage: Eukaryota; Viridiplantae; Streptophyta; Magnoliopsida; Malpighiales; Euphorbiaceae
Source: RNAcentral
AAAAAAGAUAUACAUCUCAACGCCGCUUGGGAUCAACCCCAACAGACUUGGGAGUCUCAGCGCGGGGCUGCUCGUGUGCAAAAGCGUCUCUACGAAUAGGAUCAGGCGUAUAUCGAAGACCGCUAUCAAACUCUUGAACAUGCGCAAUUUUCCUGAAGAAAGACUUCUUCAAGAAUCUAUCAGCCUCAUUCACCACUAUCUCAGGCUCCUCCACCUCUGGUAUCGUUUCCCUUGUCUUCUUCUUCACGCGUACUGUCGGGGAGUGCAUUAUCUGUUGCUUCGCGGUGUACAGACCCAGAGAUACCGAUAGAGCUAUCAUUCCUAUCACCACAUAAACGGGCACAAACUCUCCCUUUAUUGUCUUUUUAGUACGUUUUUCUCGCUGAGGAUUGCCGAAAUCAGCUGUUGGAGCAUACGCCAUCAUUUUUGGAGAGCUUGAAGUUGCAUACGUUGCAGUUCCACUCAACCGACUCACCAUUGAUUUCCAACAACUCAUUGAUCUCAAAGCCAUGAUUGGAUGUCAGAAGCGUAGAUGAAAUUGCGUUGAAGGACUUUGAUUACCAGGGUUAGGAUUAAAACAGAUUACUUGCUUCUCUUUUUUUUUUUUUUGUUUUUUGUGUUGGC